AGUGAGGUCUAUCCCAACUGAACCUUAACAAUAGAUUUAUGUUGUUGGAAAUGCCUCAAAGAGUAAACUUGCAGUUUUCGCUUUACCCACUGGAUUAUGCUGUUAAACCAGUGGGAUUGAACUACAAAACAAUU
This is a small nucleolar RNA of Carcharodon carcharias (great white shark), 134 nucleotides long. The record is from RefSeq and is a predicted model, not a curated record. NCBI's taxonomy places the organism in Eukaryota, Metazoa, Chordata, Chondrichthyes, Lamniformes, Lamnidae.